RNAcentral lists this transfer RNA (65 nucleotides) under Ictidomys tridecemlineatus (thirteen-lined ground squirrel). RNAcentral's name for it is "Spermophilus tridecemlineatus (thirteen-lined ground squirrel) tRNA". It matches the Rfam family "tRNA". From Rfam's summary of the family: Transfer RNA (tRNA) molecules are approximately 80 nucleotides in length. Their secondary structure includes four short double-helical elements and three loops (D, anti-codon, and T loops). Lineage: Eukaryota; Metazoa; Chordata; Mammalia; Rodentia; Sciuridae. The record is from Rfam by way of RNAcentral.
GAUGUUGCUCAGUGGUAGAGCACUUGCCUAGCAUGUGUGAGACCCUGGGUUUAAUCCCCAGCAUC